This 76-nucleotide transfer RNA is filed under the name Candidatus Acetothermia bacterium. RNAcentral's name for it is "tRNA-Thr". It matches the Rfam family "tRNA". From Rfam's summary of the family: Transfer RNA (tRNA) molecules are approximately 80 nucleotides in length. Their secondary structure includes four short double-helical elements and three loops (D, anti-codon, and T loops). The record is from RNAcentral. Lineage: Bacteria; Candidatus Bipolaricaulota.
GCCGACGUAGCUCAGUUGGUAGAGCAACGGUUUUGUAAACCGUGGGUCGUGGGUUCGAGUCCCUCCGUCGGCUCCA